AGGUAUCAUUUAAGUUCAAGCAGAGCCAACAAAUUUUGGUCGAAGUCGAAUUUUUCUUUUUCUAUGUAAUGUUUAAUAAUUUUUUAUUUUCGCCUCGUCGUUUUAUUUUAAACUUCUUAUCAAUUUAUCUGUAACUGUAGAUUACUAAUAUUUAAAAACUUGUCUGCAAGAUAAAUCAGCCAUAGCAGGCAAGUUAAAAAAUCUCGGAACUGCUACACCUAAGUAUAAUAGUGCAAAAAACAGGAUUAUUUUGUCAAAUAUAAUAGGAAUUUAUAACUUCUUUUGUUUACCUGCAAGAUGUAGUGAAACAAAUUUUUUAAAAACCUUGAUAUAUCUUUCACUUUAUAUAAAAUAAUAAAGUAACUUUAAAAUGAUGCUCAGGGUGUGUUUAUUUUCAGGUCUCUGUCCAUUCCUGAUAUUCAUUGAUGAGACAAUUCUGUGGGCCACCGGUUGAAGACCUCUUUAAAUAUAAUGCAACAGUGAAACUAAAGAGUUCACAAGUCAUAAGAUUGAAUUUUUAGAUUAAAUGUGGUCUUAAAUUUUACUACUAUUAUUUGACAGGAGAGCUUAGUAUGGUAAGUCAAAUAAAUUUUCUCUCUUGAAAAAUACAGACAUUUUAAACGGUUAUUAUGGUAAAACCUCAAACAAAUG
Parasteatoda tepidariorum (common house spider) is the source of this 651-nucleotide non-coding RNA. The record is from RefSeq and is a predicted model, not a curated record. NCBI's taxonomy places the organism in Eukaryota, Metazoa, Arthropoda, Arachnida, Araneae, Theridiidae.